UGCUCUUUACCAAGUGAGUGGCGGACGGGUGAGUAACACGUGGGUAACCUGCCCAUUAGAGGGGGAUAACAUUCGGAAACGGAUGCUAAUACCGCAUAGUUUCAGGAAUCGCAUGAUUCUUGAAGGAAAGGUGGCUUCGGCUACCACUAAUGGAUGGACCCGCGGCGUAUUAGCUAGUUGGUGAGGUAAUGGCUCACCAAGGCAAUGAUACGUAGCCGACCUGAGAGGGUGAUCGGCCACACUGGGACUGAGACACGGCCCAGACUCCUACGGGAGGCAGCAGUAGGGAAUCUUCCGCAAUGGACGAAAGUCUGACGGAGCAACGCCGCGUGAGUGAAGAAGGUUUUCGGAUCGUAAAACUCUGUUGUUAAAGAAGAACAAGGAUGAGAGUAACUGCUCAUCCCCUGACG
This 410-nucleotide ribosomal RNA is filed under the name Carnobacterium maltaromaticum. Its description in RNAcentral is "bacterial SSU rRNA". It matches the Rfam family "Bacterial small subunit ribosomal RNA", at positions 75 to 474 of the family's 1533-position model. Lineage: Bacteria; Bacillati; Bacillota; Bacilli; Lactobacillales; Carnobacteriaceae. The record is from RNAcentral.